RNAcentral lists this transfer RNA (89 nucleotides) under Thermonema lapsum. It matches the Rfam family "tRNA". From Rfam's summary of the family: Transfer RNA (tRNA) molecules are approximately 80 nucleotides in length. Their secondary structure includes four short double-helical elements and three loops (D, anti-codon, and T loops). Lineage: Bacteria; Pseudomonadati; Bacteroidota; Cytophagia; Cytophagales; Thermonemataceae. The record is from Rfam by way of RNAcentral.
AGAGAGGUGGCCGAGUGGUCGAAGGCGCACGCCUGGAGAGCGUGUAUCCCGGAAAACCGGGAUCGCGGGUUCGAAUCCCGUCCUCUCUG